RNAcentral lists this transfer RNA (69 nucleotides) under Xanthodes intersepta. RNAcentral's name for it is "tRNA-Cys". Lineage: Eukaryota; Metazoa; Arthropoda; Insecta; Lepidoptera; Noctuidae. The record is from RNAcentral.
AGUCUUAUAUUCAAUUUAAUAUGAUAUAAAAUUGCAAAUUUUAAGGAAUAGAGUUUACUAUUAAGGCUU